AACGAACGCUGGCGGCAUGCCUAACACAUGCAAGUCGAACGCCCCGCAAGGGGAGUGGCGAACGGGUGAGUAACGCGUGGGAACCUACCCAGCAGUUGGGGAUAACCGCGGGAAACUGCGGCUAAUACCGAAUACGUCCUUAGGGAGAAAGAUUUAUCGCUGUUGGAGGGGUCCGCGUCGGAUUAGCUAGUUGGUGGGGUAAUGGCCUACCAAGGCGACGAUCCAUAGCUGGUCUGAGAGGAUGAUCAGCCACACUGGGACUGAGACACGGCCCAGACUCCUACGGGAGGCAGCAGUGGGGAAUAUUGGACAAUGGGCGCAAGCCUGAUCCAGCCAUGCCGCGUGAGUGAUGAAGGCCUUAGGGUUGUAAAGCUCUUUCAGUGGGGACGAUAAUGACGGUACCCACAGAAGAAGCCCCGGCUAACUUCGUGCCAGCCGCCGCGGUAA
This 447-nucleotide ribosomal RNA is filed under the name uncultured bacterium. RNAcentral describes it as "partial 16S ribosomal RNA". It matches the Rfam family "Bacterial small subunit ribosomal RNA", at positions 29 to 523 of the family's 1533-position model. The record is from RNAcentral.